This 438-nucleotide ribosomal RNA is filed under the name uncultured bacterium. RNAcentral's name for it is "bacterial SSU rRNA". It matches the Rfam family "Bacterial small subunit ribosomal RNA", at positions 954 to 1392 of the family's 1533-position model. The record is from RNAcentral.
GCAUAACGCGAAGAACCUUACCAGGCCUUGACAUGCAGAGAACUUUCCAGAGGUGGAUUGGUGCCUUCGGGAACUCUGAGACAGGUGCUGCAUGGCUGUCGUCAGCUCGUGUUGUGAAAUGUUGGGUUAAGUCCCGCAACGAGCGCAACCCUUAUCCUUUGUUGCCAGCGGUUCGGCCGGGAACUCAAAGGAGACUGCCAGUGAUAAACUGGAGGAAGGUGGGGAUGACGUCAAGUCAUCAUGGCCCUUACGAGUAGGGCUACACACGUGCUACAAUGGCAUAUACAAAGAGAAGCGACCUCGCGAGAGCAAGCGGACCUCAUAAAGUAUGUCGUAGUCCGGAUUGGAGUCUGCAACUCGACUCCAUGAAGUCGGAAUCGCUAGUAAUCGUAGAUCAGAAUGCUACGGUGAAUACGUUCCCGGGUCUUGUACACACCG